UUUAACAUUAUAAAAACAUAAUUUUGUUGAAAAAAACAUAAUAAUAACAAUAAUGUUACAAUAAGUUUUUAAUUAAACUCAAAAAUAAAACAAAUAACAACAAUAAUUUCUUAGGAAUACAACAAAACUAAACUAAACUAAACUAACAAUACUAAAAACACUGGAAAAUGAAAUAUAGCUAGGCAUAAUUAAGCCCAAGCGAAGUUCCCUUGCCACAACCAUUUUGAACAUAAUCUGCAUACAAAUAUGAGCACACAUGCCCAACCCAAAUAAGACGUUAGUACAUCUUAUAAAUCAUGUAAAAAAAAAACUUAAUCGUAUAUUUGGUCAUUUAUGUUUAUUUUAAAUUCUAAGAUUGGUCCCUUGUAUUUUAAAAUUUUCAAAUUGAUUGCUUAUGUUUUAAACGUUUUAAGUUGAUCUCUUAAGUUUCUAAAAUUUAAAUCAGUUAAUCUCUAAUUAAUCAUCUUUUUUGGUCUAACUAAUUCAAAUUUUAAAAACAUGAAAGACCAACUUAAAAUUUUUAAAAUAUAAGGGACCAGCUUGAAAUAAAAUAAAUAUAAGAGACCAACUUAAAACCUAAAAUAAAUAUAAGGAACGAAAUGUACAAUUUAACGCGCAUGAAUGAACAUAUAAAACCAACUAUAUAUAGGACCUAGAUCAACUUUAUUCUUAAUAAAAAGGACAAACUUAUGUUGGCAUCAAUAACAGAAGAGAUCAACUUUUUAUUUUGAAAGGCUAAACAUUAUAUUAAUAAAAUAAUGGACCAACUUGAUAUUUUUUAAAUGUAAUACACCAAAUUAACACUUAAAAUAAAUAUAAGAAACCCAAUUUGCAAUUAAUUAAGCCUUUUCUAAGGCUACAAACGAGGUUGAAAGGGUCGGACAAAUAAAUGUGUGAGAGAAAACAUGAGUAAAACCAUUAUGAUGAGAAAAAGAAAUUAAAUGGUUAACAAUUAUAGAGAAUGUAUUUUUACCUUAACUGUUAAAUGCAGUAACAUUUUNNNNNNNNNNNNNNNNNNNNNNNNNNNNNNNNNNNNNNNNNGGCAUGGUAUACGUUGAAAAUUUGGAGGAUUACGCUUUCCUGCAAUGUAAAAUAAGAAUAAUGAAAUAGUUUUAUAAACGGGUGAAAAUUUGUGUAUAUGAUAAAAAAAAAAAUUAAAAAAUAUGAGAAUGAUCUUACCAUAAACAUUGACUACAACAAGCAAUAGGGAAACAAAAAGGAUACUAGUAUAAACAAACUUGAAAAUUUCAGCCAUUUUCACAUGUAAUAAAUUGAAACA
This 1279-nucleotide long non-coding RNA is filed under the name Trifolium pratense (red clover). RNAcentral's name for it is "long non-coding RNA (TPRA_LNC000604)". The record is from RNAcentral. Lineage: Eukaryota; Viridiplantae; Streptophyta; Magnoliopsida; Fabales; Fabaceae.